RNAcentral lists this ribosomal RNA (779 nucleotides) under Bacillus amyloliquefaciens. RNAcentral's name for it is "bacterial SSU rRNA". It matches the Rfam family "Bacterial small subunit ribosomal RNA", at positions 1 to 764 of the family's 1533-position model. Lineage: Bacteria; Bacillati; Bacillota; Bacilli; Caryophanales; Bacillaceae. The record is from RNAcentral.
UUUUUGAGGUUUUGAUUCUGGCUCAGGACGAACGCUGGCGGCGUGCCUAAUACAUGCAAGUCGAGCGGACAGAUGGGAGCUUGCUCCCUGAUGUUAGCGGCGGACGGGUGAGUAACACGUGGGUAACCUGCCUGUAAGACUGGGAUAACUCCGGGAAACCGGGGCUAAUACCGGAUGGUUGUCUGAACCGCAUGGUUCAGACAUAAAAGGUGGCUUCGGCUACCACUUACAGAUGGACCCGCGGCGCAUUAGCUAGUUGGUGAGGUAACGGCUCACCAAGGCGACGAUGCGUAGCCGACCUGAGAGGGUGAUCGGCCACACUGGGACUGAGACACGGCCCAGACUCCUACGGGAGGCAGCAGUAGGGAAUCUUCCGCAAUGGACGAAAGUCUGACGGAGCAACGCCGCGUGAGUGAUGAAGGUUUUCGGAUCGUAAAGCUCUGUUGUUAGGGAAGAACAAGUGCCGUUCAAAUAGGGCGGCACCUUGACGGUACCUAACCAGAAAGCCACGGCUAACUACGUGCCAGCAGCCGCGGUAAUACGUAGGUGGCAAGCGUUGUCCGGAAUUAUUGGGCGUAAAGGGCUCGCAGGCGGUUUCUUAAGUCUGAUGUGAAAGCCCCCGGCUCAACCGGGGAGGGUCAUUGGAAACUGGGGAACUUGAGUGCAGAAGAGGAGAGUGGAAUUCCACGUGUAGCGGUGAAAUGCGUAGAGAUGUGGAGGAACACCAGUGGCGAAGGCGACUCUCUGGUCUGUAACUGACGCUGAGAGCGAAAGACGCG